UUAUUGGGCGAAAGGGCUUCGCAGGCGGUUUCCUUAAGUCUGAUGUGAAAGCCCCCGGCUCAACCGGGGAGGGUCAUUGGAAACUGGGAAACUUGAGUGCAGAAGAGGAGAGUGGAAUUCCACGUGUAGCGGUGAAAUGCGUAGAGAUGUGGAGGAACACCAGUGGCGAAGGCGACUCUCUGGUCUGUAACUGACGCUGAGGAGCGAAAGCGUGGGGAGCGAACAGGAUUAGAUACCCUGGUAGUCCACGCCGUAAACGAUGAGUGCUAAGUGUUAGGGGGUUUCCGCCCCUUAGUGCUGCAGCUAACGCAUUAAGCACUCCGCCUGGGGAGUACGGUCGCAAGACUGAAACUCAAAGGAAUUGACGGGGGCCCGCACAAGCGGUGGAGCAUGUGGUUUAAUUCGAAGCAACGCGAAGAACCUUACCAGGUCUUGACAUCCUCUGACAACCCUAGAGAUAGGGCUUUCCCUUCGGGGACAGAGUGACAGGUGGUGCAUGGUUGUCGUCAGCUCGUGUCGUGAGAUGUUGGGUUAAGUCCCGCAACGAGCGCAACCCUUGAUCUUAGUUGCCAGCAUUCAGUUGGGCACUCUAAGGUGACUGCCGGUGACAAACCGGAGGAAGGUGGGGAUGACGUCAAAUCAUCAUGCCCCUUAUGACCUGGGCUACACACGUGCUACAAUGGACAGAACAAAGGGCUGCAAGAC
This 705-nucleotide ribosomal RNA is filed under the name Bacillus pumilus. RNAcentral's name for it is "bacterial SSU rRNA". It matches the Rfam family "Bacterial small subunit ribosomal RNA", at positions 551 to 1255 of the family's 1533-position model. Lineage: Bacteria; Bacillati; Bacillota; Bacilli; Caryophanales; Bacillaceae. The record is from RNAcentral.